This 501-nucleotide ribosomal RNA is filed under the name uncultured bacterium. RNAcentral's name for it is "partial 16S ribosomal RNA". It matches the Rfam family "Bacterial small subunit ribosomal RNA", at positions 29 to 523 of the family's 1533-position model. The record is from RNAcentral.
AUUGAACGCUGGCGGCAUGCCUUACACAUGCAAGUCGAACGGCAGCACGGGUGCUUGCACCUGGUGGCGAGUGGCGAACGGGUGAGUAAUACAUCGGAACGUACCUUAUCGUGGGGGAUAACGCAGCGAAAGCUGUGCUAAUACCGCAUACGCCCUGAGGGGGAAAGCGGGGGGUCGAAAGACCUCGCGCGAUUAGAGCGGCCGAUGCCUGAUUAGCUUGUUGGUGGGGUAAAAGCCCACCAAGGCGACGAUCAGUAGCUGGUCUGAGAGGACGAUCAGCCACACUGGGACUGAGACACGGCCCAGACUCCUACGGGAGGCAGCAGUGGGGAAUUUUGGACAAUGGGGGCAACCCUGAUCCAGCAAUGCCGCGUGAGUGAAGAAGGCCUUCGGGUUGUAAAGCUCUUUUGUCAGGGAAGAAACACCGGCUCUAACACAGUCCGGGAAUGACGGUACCUGAAGAAAAAGCACCGGCUAACUACGUGCCAGCAGCCGCAGUAA